GUACCAGACUCCUACGGGAGGCAGCAGUGGGGAAUAUUGGGCAAUGGGCGCAAGCCUGACCCAGCAACGCCGCGUGAAGGAAGAAGGCUUUCGGGUUGUAAACUUCUUUUGUCAGGGACGAAGCAAGUGACGGUACCUGACGAAUAAGCCACGGCUAACUACGUGCCAGCAGCCGCGGUAAUACGUAGGUGGCAAGCGUUAUCCGGAUUUACUGGGUGUAAAGGGCGUGUAGGCGGGGAAGCAAGUCAGAUGUGAAAACCACGGGCUCAACCUGUGGCCUGCAUUUGAAACUGUUUUUCUUGAGUACUGGAGAGGCAGACGGAAUUCCUAGUGUAGCGGUGAAAUGCGUAGAUAUUAGGAGGAACACCAGUGGCGAAGGCGGUCUGCUGGACAGCAACUGACGUUGAGGCCCGAAAGCGUGGGGAGCAAACAGGAUUAGAUACCCUUGUAUAG
This 453-nucleotide ribosomal RNA is filed under the name uncultured bacterium. Its description in RNAcentral is "partial 16S ribosomal RNA". It matches the Rfam family "Bacterial small subunit ribosomal RNA", at positions 328 to 793 of the family's 1533-position model. The record is from RNAcentral.